Molecule: ribosomal RNA, 398 nt
Filed under: uncultured bacterium
Lineage: Bacteria
Description: partial 16S ribosomal RNA
Rfam family: Bacterial small subunit ribosomal RNA
Source: RNAcentral
AUACGUAGGGUGCGAGCGUUGUCCGGAAUUACUGGGCGUAAAGAGCUCGUAGGUGGUUUGUCGCGUCGUCUGUGAAAUUCCGGGGCUUAACUCCGGGCGUGCAGGCGAUACGGGCAUAACUUGAGUACUGUAGGGGAGACUGGAAUUCCUGGUGUAGCGGUGAAAUGCGCAGAUAUCAGGAGGAACACCGGUGGCGAAGGCGGGUCUCUGGGCCAUAAGUGUCGCGGAGGAGCGAAAGCAUGGGUAGCGAACAGGUUUAGACACCCGGGGAGUCCAUGCCGUAAACGGUGGGCGCUAGGUGUAGGGGUCUUCCACGACUUCUGUGCCGUAGCUAACGCAUUAAGCGCCCCGCCUGGGGAGUACGGCCGCAAGGCUAAAACUCACAGGAAUUGACGGGU